UAACAGGAAGAAGCUUGUUCUUUGCUGACGAGUGGCGGACGGGUGAGUAAUGUCUGGGAAACUGCCUGAUGGAGGGGGAUAACUACUGGAAACGGUAGCUAAUACCGCAUAACGUCGCAAGACCAAAGAGGGGGACCUUCGGGCCUCUUGCCAUCGGAUGUGCCCAGAUGGGAUUAGCUAGUAGGUGGGGUAACGGCUCACCUAGGCGACGAUCCCUAGCUGGUCUGAGAGGAUGACCAGCCACACUGGAACUGAGACACGGUCCAGACUCCUACGGGAGGCAGCAGUGGGGAAUAUUGCACAAUGGGCGCAAGCCUGAUGCAGCCAUGCCGCGUGUAUGAAGAAGGCCUUCGGGUUGUAAAGUACUUUCAGCGGGGAGGAAGGGAGUAAAGUUAAUACCUUUGCUCAUUGACGUUACCCGCAGAAGAAGCACCGGCUAACUCCGUGCCAGCAGCCGCGGUAAUACGGAGGGUGCAAGCGUUAAUCGGAAUUACUGGGCGUAAAGCGCACGCAGGCGGUUUGUUAAGUCAGAUGUGAAAUCCCCGGGCUCAACCUGGGAACUGCAUCUGAUACUGGCAAGCUUGAGUCUCGUAGAGGGGGGUAGAAUUCCAGGUGUAGCGGUGAAAUGCGUAGAGAUCUGG
Molecule: ribosomal RNA, 641 nt
Filed under: uncultured Pseudomonadota bacterium
Lineage: Bacteria; Pseudomonadati; Pseudomonadota
Description: bacterial SSU rRNA
Rfam family: Bacterial small subunit ribosomal RNA
Source: RNAcentral